RNAcentral lists this ribosomal RNA (320 nucleotides) under uncultured bacterium. RNAcentral describes it as "bacterial SSU rRNA". It matches the Rfam family "Bacterial small subunit ribosomal RNA", at positions 470 to 789 of the family's 1533-position model. The record is from RNAcentral.
UGACGGUACCUGACUAAGAAGCUCCGGCUAAAUACGUGCCAGCAGCCGCGGUAAUACGUAUGGAGCAAGCGUUAUCCGGAUUUACUGGGUGUAAAGGGAGCGCAGGCGGUUUAGCAAGUCUGAUGUGAAAUCCCGGGGCUCAACCUCGGAACUGCAUUGGAAACUGUUAAACUAGAGUGUCGGAGAGGUAAGUGGAAUUCCUAGUGUAGCGGUGAAAUGCGUAGAUAUUAGGAGGAACACCAGUGGCGAAGGCGGCUUACUGGACGAUAACUGACGCUGAGGCUCGAAAGCGUGGGGAGCAAACAGGAUUAGAUACCCUG